Long non-coding RNA from Acipenser ruthenus (sterlet), 637 nucleotides. RefSeq lists it as uncharacterized. The record is from RefSeq and is a predicted model, not a curated record. The transcript has 2 exons. Lineage: Eukaryota; Metazoa; Chordata; Actinopteri; Acipenseriformes; Acipenseridae.
ACUCUGCAGUCCGUGCUGUGUGCCAGACAGUCUCCAGUCUGUGUGAAGCAAGGCUGUCACUGUGAAGAAACCUGUGUGGUUCAGAAAGCUCAGCUCACUCCUACCACCCCUGCGGUGACUCGGGAGGGCGAAGACGAAGACACACUGUCCUCCGAAGCGUGUGCCGCCAACCGACUGCUUUUUUUCACACUGCAGCCUCACCAUGCAGCCACCCAAAAGCUACAGCGGCAGAGGACAACGCAGCUCUCGGGCAGCUUACAGGCAAGCCCGCAGGCGCCCGGCCAGACUACAGGGGUCGCUGGUGCGCGGUGAGCCGAGGACACCCCGGCCGACCUAACCCGCCCUCCCACCGGGUGACGCUUGGCCAAUUGUGCGCAACCCCCUGGGAGCUCCCGUCCACGGUCGGCUGUGGAAUAGCCUGGACUUGAACUCAUGACAUCUAGACUAUAGAGCACAUCCUGCACUCCACGUGGAGCACCUUUACUGGAUGCGCCACUCAGGAGCCCCCUAAUAUUGGUAUCUUUAUCAAUGCUGGUUUUUUAAAAUGUUCAUUUACAUUAACCUUGGAUGUUAUGACAUAAUCAAAUAUGACCUUGACAUUUGGGAUACACUUCAAAAUACAUGUACAUUAACUAAA